This is a non-coding RNA of Cronobacter sp., 74 nucleotides long. NCBI's taxonomy places the organism in Bacteria, Pseudomonadati, Pseudomonadota, Gammaproteobacteria, Enterobacterales, Enterobacteriaceae. The record is from Rfam.
GCGCCCUUAGCUCAGCUGGAUAGAGCAACGGCCUUCUAAGCCGUGGGUCGCAGGUUCGAGUCCUGCAGGGCGCG